AGCAGCCGCGGUAAUUCCAGCUCCAAUAGCGUAUAUUAAAGUUGUUGCAGUUAAAAGCUCGUAGUUGAAUUUCGGGGUUAGUAGGUUGGUCAUGCCUCUGGUAUGUACUGGUCUCACUGAUUCCUCCUUCCUGAUGAACCUUAAUGCCAUUAAUUUGGUGUUUUGGGGAAUUUGGACUGUUACUUUGAAAAAUUAGAGUGUUUAAAGCAAGCUAACGCUUGAAUACAUUAGCAUGGAAUAAUGAAAUAGGACGUUCGAUCCUAUUUUGUUGGUUUCUAGGAUUGACGUAAUGAUUAAUAGGGAUAGUUGGGGGCAUUAGUAUUCAAUUGUCAGAGGUGAAAUUCUUGGAUUUAUUGAAGACUAACUACUGCGAAAGCAUUUGCCAAGGAUGUUUUCAUUAAUCAAGAACGAAAGUUAGGGAUCGAAGACGAUCAGAUACCGUCGUAGUCUUAACCAUAAACUAUGCCGACUAGGGAUCGGAUGAUGUUAAUUUUUAAUGGCUCAUUCGGCGCCUUACGGG
This 520-nucleotide unclassified non-coding RNA is filed under the name uncultured Glomus. RNAcentral describes it as "SSU rRNA". It matches the Rfam family "Eukaryotic small subunit ribosomal RNA", at positions 569 to 1094 of the family's 1831-position model. The record is from RNAcentral. Lineage: Eukaryota; Fungi; Glomeromycota; Glomeromycetes; Glomerales; Glomeraceae.